UGUGAAUAAAUCGAAAAUAUUGGUAAAAAAAAUCAAAAAUAUACACAUAUGCAUAAUCUUAUGAUAUACUAAUAUAUUUAAAUAAUUAUUUAUUGAGUACGUGUUAGAAUUCUUACAAAGUGGACACAAUAUCAUGAUCAAACUGAUUAAAAAAUAUGCCAUAAAAUUAUAGACAGGUAUACAUUUGUGAUAAGGUAAAAUAACAAAUGAUUUGACUACCAAAAUUUUCUAUUCAGGAUUGCUCAAAAUCAUUUAUGUAAUCCUUUAUAUACUAAAGCGCAAGUCGCUUGGCGAAUCAGAAUUUGACACAUAGAUUAAAAAAUAAAAAUAGUUUAAAAUGAAAAAACAAAUGAAAAACAAAUGACAAAAUCAAAAUAUUUUCUUUGGCCACUUCGUCGACAGUUCUCCGUUCCCACCACGAUCACCAUUCACCAACAAUCUCCAAAUAACUACCUAUAUAUUUGUACGAGGAUAUUUAUAACUGCAUCUUGCUUCAAAAACAUACUUUCUCUAAUUCUCUAAUCCGCAAACCGAUGUAGACAUGCAAGCUUCUUUGCCGAGAC
This 563-nucleotide long non-coding RNA is filed under the name Brassica rapa (field mustard). Its description in RNAcentral is "long non-coding RNA (BRAP_LNC002253)". Lineage: Eukaryota; Viridiplantae; Streptophyta; Magnoliopsida; Brassicales; Brassicaceae. The record is from RNAcentral.